CCCAGAAAUCGACGCCGGUUAUAAAAUUCGUAAACACGUCGCACGAAAACAAGGUCGCAUCAGCGCGCUAUCAUUCGAGCGUGACGCAGGACUUGGAUCGGUCGACAGUGGUGCCGCGUCACUGCGUCGUAUUAUUUUUUCAAACGUUGGCAAGUACUGACAAACGAACGAGAUUCCUUACGAACGAUUAGAGAUUAAAAUCGCGACUAAUUCGUUUCUCGAGUGUACCAAGAUUAAUGGCGUAUCGACGCGACGAUUUUUAUGUACUUUCGAAGUGGAUAUUCGACAUCGCUACCCGUCGCAUCGUUAAAUACGCACGAGAUUAAGUUAGUUCAACGCCUUAACGUAAGAAUACGAUCUCUUAUCGAGGCCUGCAUGGGAAUUUGGGAGAUGUACGUUCCGAUUUGUGUCGUGUCUUUGUGUUGUGUCUUAAAUAAGUAUGUAACGGCAACGGGAAAAUUUCGGUAUUCGGUAUAACCGUCGCACUCCUGCGUCGUAUUUAUUCUUUAAAGUCGUUACGGCAAGUAUCGGGAAGCGGAGACUUUUUACAAAUUAGAGGUUAUAAUCGCGAUUAAUGACUAAAAGACUUCUUAAGAGCUAUUCGAUUUAUAUUCUAGUUCAAGUUAGUGAUCGCACUUUCGAUGUACGAUAAUGUAGGAUCUUAGGAUUUUAUUGAGUGCCAACGUACUUAUUGAUUCGAAUUAUGUCGACGGAAUAUGGGUAUUUUAUCUUGGGGGGGAGGGAAGGUUUUAUAUAAAUGGGAAUAUCGUGUACCGCGCAAAAAUUGUUACUGAUAAUUAGCCACGAGUGUUUCUCGGGAGUGUUGUGCAAGUGUAAGUUAAGAAGAUUUGACAACCUAGAAGGAAGUGCCUGAUAAUUUGAGAGGAGGUGGAGGCCUUGGAGAGGCGUCGGGCAUCGACGAGUUUUUGUUUGCGAUUUCAACGUAGUCAACGUAGCAGAUAACUCCGCUGUUGCGCAUCGGUCGGUUCUUAUAGUAAAUUCUCGUGAAUUCUUUGGAGAAACUCUACACGGGAAUUACUGGAUCGUCCAUCCAUAAGUUAGGACAGCAAAGUAACGAACGGAUUAAUUCUUACACUGAUGAUCUUUCGUGUAAAACGGAGACAAUACAUCAAGAUAACUUGUAAGUUUAACCGUAAACGAACGUCAUAUUUUGUUCCUGCUAUCGAAACUACCCGGACAUUAUUUUGGAUGGUGCAGCCUCUGUCGUUGUCCAGCGGUACAAAAGGACAGCCGGCGUGGGAGAAGCUGCGGCUUGUGCAACAUAAAUAGAGAUACCAAGUGAGAAGGGUGCAACGAAGGUGCGACUACGACUGUGCCGACAACAGAUGGCUACGUUCAGUUCUGCCGAUGGACCAUAUUACGACCUGCUAUUAUCGACCGACCGAACAAAAUAAUUGAUCACCGAAGCCUUCGGACAGAAACGCCGGCGCGUGAAUGUAAGGGAUGAUGAAAUAUCCAGCUACGCAUUGUUAAGUCAUUGCUGAAAAUCUACCGCGCAGUGUAUUUAUCGUCCAUUAAUCGUGGAACGUCAACAGUUUGUCCACACACAUCUUAAAGAUAAUAAUUAAUAUUGAGAGAAUAGACUAUUUCGGAUAAAGAAUUAAAUGAUUUUUAUGCUGACCCGUCUUGCUGUGAUGGACGAUUAUCGUAAUUGAAGGACGAUGUUCGAUAAAAUGCAACAGCAGUGUAAGCAAAAAGCGAGACGAACUCGUGAGUAAUCCGGAAUACGAAAAAGUUUACUGGUUAUAGCAGUGGAGCACCUGUGGCAUUCUGUACGAGGAGGUGAAGUCCAUAAGAUCGGGGUUGAACGAAAAGCUGUGAAAAAAGGGAACCUACAUCUCAAGUGAUCUUUCCUAUCCUUCGUCAGUUGGCGACACCGUGCAAUCCUCAAUAUCUACAACCACCCAACAGGUGGCAGCACGCCCUAGAAUGUCAAGUAUUCAUCUUUCGAGGAAUUCCGCCUUCGUGUAUGCACACCCAAAGUACGAGCUAAAGUUCAAAUGGCCAUGCACUUAACGGGCGAAACGGGGCAGUGGGUGCACCGCGGGAUAAUUCGAUCUUAUCGCGUGUUGAACAAGCCGCCCGCUGGGAAAUCGACCGUACGGGUCGUUAAAAAUCAAGAGAUUGCGACAAACCGUGCAAACACGCUGUGGAAAUGGCCCAACAAAGGAAACCAAAAAUAAAACAAUCGAAAACUUUAUAAUAUAGAAGAUAAAUAUCCGACAUCCUGCUUAACGGAUCUUCUGAAUCAACUUUGGAGAGAAUACUGUAAUCGUUUACGUACGUGAUUGCUGAUGUGGGAAGAUAUUCGGCAGAUGGGAAUGAUGGAAAUAAGGGUGCAAAGAGGAUAUUGAUCGUCCUUGUACUCCUUAAAGGCACGAUAGAGCAGUGCCCUUGAAACUAGCCUACCGUUCUAAAGCGGCACAAUGUGACGAUAUAGCAUAACGUACAGCAGCGAUGUCGUUUCCAUGGCAAUGCAUCGAUGGGUCUGGGAACGUGCUAACUUUCGCGCAUGCACAGUGUACAUGGGACGCAUGCCACAGCAUUAAAACACAGGUUGAGGUAACAUUUGAUGGAAUAAUUGAACAACUAUACAGAACCCUCAAGAAGACAUCGGAUUUCCAUUAAAUUAAUUAGUUAAAUUAAUUGAUAUUAUCAAAUAUCAUAUUGCAAAAGCGUAAAAUUGUAGUUAAUUUGAAUGAUAAGAUAUAAAUUGAUCAGAUUACAAAUCA
Long non-coding RNA from Acromyrmex echinatior (Panamanian leafcutter ant), 2753 nucleotides. RefSeq lists it as uncharacterized. Lineage: Eukaryota; Metazoa; Arthropoda; Insecta; Hymenoptera; Formicidae. The record is from RefSeq and is a predicted model, not a curated record.